GCGCACCAGGCGAGAAUACUUUACAAUGUGCGAAAGCACGAUAAGGGAACUCUGAGUGCCUCCUAAGGAGGCUGUUCUGAUGUCUAAGAAGCAACAGAAGUAAGGGCUGGGUAAGACCGGUGCCAGCCGCCGCGGUAACACCGGCAGCCCAAGUGGUAGCCACGUUUAUUGGGUCUAAAGCGUUCGUAGCCGGCCAGGUAAGUUCCUUGGUAAAUUUAGCCGCUUAACGGUUAAGCUUUCAGGGAAUACUGCUUGGCUUGGGACUGGGGAGAGGUCAGAGGUACUCCGGGGGUAGGGGUGAAAUCUAUUAAUCCCUGGGGGACCACCGGUAGCGAAGGCGUCUGACCAGACCAGGUCCGACGGUGAGGGACGAAGGCUAGGGGCGCGAACCGGAUUAGAUACCCGGGUAGU
Molecule: ribosomal RNA, 411 nt
Filed under: uncultured microorganism
Description: bacterial SSU rRNA
Rfam family: Archaeal small subunit ribosomal RNA
Source: RNAcentral